Chinchilla lanigera (long-tailed chinchilla) is the source of this 409-nucleotide long non-coding RNA. RefSeq lists it as uncharacterized. The transcript is spliced from 3 exons. The record is from RefSeq and is a predicted model, not a curated record. Lineage: Eukaryota; Metazoa; Chordata; Mammalia; Rodentia; Chinchillidae.
CACACCACUCUUCCAUGGAAACUCAACUACUGAAAAUGACCAGUGACCCCUGCUCCAGCCAACACAGCCUGCUCAUAAAACUCCUAGUAUAGGAAGUGGCGUGGGACCAGUGUAACAUCAACCGCAGCCACAAAGCUAAGGCGAAGAAGGAAGUUGAUGGGGAAAAAAGAAGAACUACUGUCUGUGAGACUCUGAUGAAACUCUUGGGUCACCUCCCUAGUGGCAUAAACUCAGGAGCUGAUUUUAGUGUUUUGUUACCCACCCACAACUCAGGGGAAACCAUCACCACGAUGGAUGCCAUGGACAAGCGAAGAUGGGGCACUGGGCAAGGCAUUGAGAAAAAAAGCCACUUACGUGAUCUGUCUGACUCAAAAGCAUAAUUCUCCUCUCCAAAUUUCUUCACACUGCG